RNAcentral lists this non-coding RNA (28 nucleotides) under Homo sapiens (human). Lineage: Eukaryota; Metazoa; Chordata; Mammalia; Primates; Hominidae. The record is from RNAcentral.
UAGCACAGGAAUGUCCAACCUUUUGGCU